Molecule: long non-coding RNA, 1456 nt
Organism: Apis mellifera (honey bee)
Lineage: Eukaryota; Metazoa; Arthropoda; Insecta; Hymenoptera; Apidae
Exons: 2
Source: RefSeq, a predicted model, not a curated record
CAAAGUUAAUGGAAGUUUGAAUAUUGGAUUUGGAUGUUAUGUGAUUCAUGCGUUGGCAAUUAGUUUAAGUGGUUAAGGAAAUAGGUUGGCAAUUGUUAGACGAUUAGCAAGGGAAAAUGGAAGAACAAAGGUUGUAGCUUUUAGAAGAACCUAAACGAAGACUAGUUCGUAUCAAUUUUGAUACAAAAUAAUUUAACGAAGGAGAGAGACAAACGAGAUUGGAUUAAACGAUCAAUCAAGAUAGCCAGAAACUAGAACGAUUUUAUUUAGAUAGAAAUACUAAAUCUUCUAAAUUAAUAAUUUCUCGUUUUAGACGUACAAUUUUAUUUUAUAAAAUUAAUAAUUGUAAAAAGAGUCAAGCUGUUAAUUGAAUUUUCAAAAAAAAUAUACACACACGCAUCGCCUACUUAUAAAAUCGUAAAAAAAUCAAGCUGUCGACGAAUCCCUAAAAAACUUACGCCAGUUUAACACACUGAGGAAGAAUGCUCUUCGGUGGGGACAACCAGGGGAAUGCAAUGUUAGAAGAGAGAGGGGAGGAAGGGAGGAAGGCACAGGCCUGCGAUUGUACACACGUGGCACAACAGUAGUUAUCGAGAGAGACAGAUGCGAAAUUGAGAAGGAAACGGGACGAAGAGGUGCGAGCAGAUUAUGCAGCGAAACUCGCGCCUGUUUAAUAAACGAUAUCGAUAAAACUGUAAACAGAGAAAGGAAUUCGUUACCAUCGGUGAUAUAUUUGUGUGCACGUUGAACAGAUAUGAGGCCACGAUAUAGAACUCGUUUCGGAAUUUUAUCGCGUCUUGCGCGUGAAAAAAAAUUCAAUAUCACCUCUGUUCGCGGUAUGAGCAAACAUGAUGAUAAAUUGGAAUACGUAAUUGGAUCUGGAGGAUGCAAUUUUUCGUACUUUUAUAUUUUCUAUUGCGCACAAUACAAUUCUAAUAUUAUCAUGCAUUUAAUAAAAAAAAAAAAAGCAAUUUUAAAGUCAAUCAGAAAUACAACGCAAAUAAAUUGAAAAAUCUGUACAAUGAAUGAAACGAAAUGUUGUAAUCCAAAAGAUCGUAAUAAAAGUUAAAUUGAUUUUCAAAUUAGGAAUGGAGGAAUGAUUGAGUGGAAAAGAGAAACAAUUUGCCGAAAAAUGUUGGAAGGAAAAACUCGUAGUCGACAAGUGUUUAGCACACUUUGAAAUAAUUGUGUCGUCAUCGAGAACCCGGACUCGUUCCAGCCGACGGAUGUUACUCGGUUAUUUACGAUUGGGGAAAAAAACCAGAAUGCAUGGUGUUCAACGUGAGUUGCAGCAAGGACGCGCGAACAAUCGUGAAUUAGCCGCGUGAAAUUGCCGCGACUACCUGUUGGACUUUCGAUUUCUUCUGGAACUUUGCCUCCGUUAUUGUUGUCAUCGAUAUGACACAUGCUUCUUUGUGUUGUUUGAUUUAUUAAUAAACGUGACCGUUUUUUUUAA